CUCAGGUACUAUUUCAUUGCCAUGUGAGCUCCAUCCUCGCCCUGCCUGCAGUGUCCAGAGCACUGGACAACCAAGAUACCCCCUGGCCAAAGAAGAAAGCACCAUGGGACAGUCUUCAACAGCAGAACCAAUCCUCUCACUACUCUGGGCUUACUGAGAGACAGAAAUCACUGGGUGAUCCUGCUGUGCUCAACAGACUGACACUGAACAGGAAAUUGGUCUCUAGAUUAUAAAAAGCAAAAGGUAAGAACAACCACUCUUCUCCUACCUGCUGCCGGGGCCACCAGGAGCCGGGCUGCUGCCCUCAGAAGUGGUCAGACUCCAAGGUCUGUCUUCAGCUCCCGCCCCUGGAGCCAGCCCCGCCAGAAGGGACCUGUCAGUGGCUCUGAGGAAGCCCACUGUUGACCUGCAACCGCUUCCUUCUCAUUUCCACAGCUCCUUGAGUACCAGAGUGGGGUAAAGAGAGACUGUCUGAAGAUGAAGCCAUUGCAGAAGAAAGCAGAGCUUAGAGAUGGACAGAAUGGUAACUGAGGUGCAGAGGAACUCCACACAGACCCAGUCGGCCGAUGAAAGCACACAUGCAUCUAAUGCACAGAGCAAUUCUGCAUAGGAACCCUUGGUACAGAGCUGCUGCUCCAAACCUCAUCCUGCAGUGCUUAGUAGCCAGGUGCCCCUCCUCCUCCAUCCAGACCUCCAGAAAGAAAGUGACUGAGCUUGCAAACAUGGCUGGAACAUCAGCAAGGUGCCCCCCAAGAACCAGAUCUGGAAUUUUAAGGCAAUUCCUGAAUGCACUGACAUGUUCUUGGAAACCCCUCUACUUCCUAGAUGUCUUCUGUUGUUAAAAUGCUCUGGGCUCAGACUUCCACCCCUCAGAAAAGUUGACUGGCCCCAAAGAUUUUCUCCUGAGUUAGGAAAUAUAGCUAUAAGUAGAAAAUAUGAGCCAGGCAGAGUUGCACAUGUCUGUAAUUCCAGCUAUGUAGGAGACCACCACCGACGAAGGAGGAUCUCAAGUUUGAGGCCAGCCUGGGCAACUUAGAGAGAUGCAGUCUCAAAAUAAAAUACCAUUUUUAAAAAGAGAUGGGGGUAUGGUUCUGUGGUAAAGCACCCUGGUUUCAAUCUUCAGUAUUACAAAAAGAGUAUUUUAUGUGUAUAUAUAAGUACAGAAACACACAUGUGUAUGUAUAUACUGUGC
This 1192-nucleotide long non-coding RNA is filed under the name Heterocephalus glaber (naked mole-rat). RNAcentral describes it as "lncRNA (ENSHGLG00000041794.1)". Lineage: Eukaryota; Metazoa; Chordata; Mammalia; Rodentia; Bathyergidae. The record is from RNAcentral.